RNAcentral lists this ribosomal RNA (468 nucleotides) under uncultured bacterium. RNAcentral's name for it is "partial 16S ribosomal RNA". It matches the Rfam family "Bacterial small subunit ribosomal RNA", at positions 28 to 507 of the family's 1533-position model. The record is from RNAcentral.
GACGAACGCUGGCGGCGUGCUUAACACAUGCAAGUCGAACGGAAAGGCCCUGCUUUUGUGGGGUGCUCGAGUGGCGAACGGGUGAGUAACACGUGAGUAACCUGCCCUUGACUUUGGGAUAACUUCAGGAAACUGGGGCUAAUACCGGAUAGGAGCUCCUGCUGCAUGGUGGGGGUUGGAAAGUUUCGGCGGUUGGGGAUGGACUCGCGGCUUAUCAGCUUGUUGGUGGGGUAGUGGCUUACCAAGGCUUUGACGGGUAGCCGGCCUGAGAGGGUGACCGGCCACAUUGGGACUGGGAUACGGCACAGACUCCUACGGGAGGCAGCAGUGGGGAAUAUUGCACAAUGGGCGGAAGCCUGAUGCAGCAACGCCGCGUGCGGGAUGACGGCCUUCGCGUUGUAUACCGCUUUCGCCUGUGACGAAGCGUGAGUGACGGUAAUGGGUAAAGAAGCACCGGCUAACUACGUG